This 250-nucleotide long non-coding RNA is filed under the name Prunus persica (peach). RNAcentral describes it as "long non-coding RNA (PPER_LNC003402)". The record is from RNAcentral. Lineage: Eukaryota; Viridiplantae; Streptophyta; Magnoliopsida; Rosales; Rosaceae.
GACACACCAACCACUCCAUUUCAGAACGAACUUCGUAUGAACCUGAAUUGUCCAAUUUAAUGGACCAAUCGAUAUCGGAUUGAGUCCAAAACUUGGGGAACAUUAUAAUACGAUGGGAGGAGUCAUUUGGUGACUUUUGAGUGAAGUCCAAUGGCUAAAACUAUGCCAUACACUAACCACUCCAUUUCAGAACGAAUUUCGUACGAACCUGAAUAGUCCAGUUUCAUGGACUAAUAGAUAUCGGAUUGAG